Molecule: long non-coding RNA, 1418 nt
Organism: Sycon ciliatum
Lineage: Eukaryota; Metazoa; Porifera; Calcarea; Leucosolenida; Sycettidae
Exons: 2
Source: RefSeq, a predicted model, not a curated record
UUUCUGCAAUUCUGGCGACCUAGCUAGAACCUGCUGCUAGUGUCCCUCUUCACUCGUUCUUUCUAUGAUAGGGGAAGGCAGCACUCGCAGAAGAUUUUCCAAGAAUGCAAUGUCGACUGGUGCUCGUACCAUAAGAAGAGAGAAAUCAAAGUCCGCUCUUGAAUCAUGCCUGAGUAUUAGAAAAUUAUUUCAGAACACGCUUGUGUAGAUUUCCUGCCAGUGCCACUGACAUCUCGCGACCUCCAAAUAUUAUAACUUGCUCGAUCAUCUCCCGCACUGACUGGCAAAUUCGUCAGGUAGCUGUGGAUGGAUCGAUUCAGGGAGAUCGAAGAACAAUUCCACGGUACUUCAAUACGCUGUUGAAUUGUAUCCUCUGCUUGGGAGUCUCGACUGUUUUAUUGCUGCAUGGCUCUCCUCAACACCGUUCACUGUACAUGUAUCACGGAACGCAGAUUGGAUGGCAUUGGAGGUGAAUUUGAUAAUUUGUGACUGUGUCAUCAACCAAGUGAGGACAUCAAAUAUCAACCGGGACGCUCCGAAAAUCACAAACGCUGCGAAAUAGAUGGUCUUACACACUGGAGGGUAUUCCACAUUCAUUGUGUCAUAUCUUUAGACUGUCCGAAAGUUUGUCGUGCCGUGCAACUUUCACAGACUUAUCCGAUAAUUGGCAUGUGGCCCUACUGGCACACACUCAUGCGUACUGCCGUUGAGUUUAUCUAUAUGUGCACGCACAUGUGUGUAUACAUAUACAAUUUUAUUACGUAUGUAAAAUUAGGCAAUCUACAUGUACAUACUGUGUGUGCACUCACUCUUAUGACAUAGAACGACAGUGCAGGCUAUGUAAAGUCGCAUCAAUGUGUGUCACCCGGGUGUGUACAUGCAUGCGCGCUCGCGCGGGCGUUUUGUGUGCGCGCCUGGCAUGGCAUAACGCCGUUCAGUAUGACUAGUGUUGAACCGUGGUAAUUUGCCCCCACCCCCUCUUUUUUCUGCUGGCGUUGGAUAUGCAACUAAUGACAUAAACUCGGUUGUUGAAAACGAGUGCCAUGCACCACAAUGGAUGGACAAUAAGAUAAUACAAGUAGCACUGUAAAAGCGCUGGUAAUACUUAUGUUGAAGCCAUGGCAGUUGUGAGUAGCUUUCCAAGUCAAGCCUGCUGCAGAAAUUAUUGCACUCCGACCAGCUGGAGUGGCCCGGGACUGCCGGUUGUGGAGAACAGGAGUGAUGCUUGUAUAUACGCUUGUAUUUACAUGAUGUACACAGUGUACUUCGAAGUAACGCUAGGUGUAUUACUUGUGUGUUCUUCUGCCUGUGCGCGUGUACAUGUGCUGGUCAGUGUGGAACCGCCAUCCAUAUCAGAUCAUACAGCUGCUAUCAGUCUCAACAGCUUGUAUCUUGCAAAUAGGGUUUUAGUGACUCGA